Gossypium raimondii (Peruvian cotton) is the source of this 592-nucleotide long non-coding RNA. RefSeq lists it as uncharacterized. The transcript is spliced from 3 exons. The record is from RefSeq and is a predicted model, not a curated record. NCBI's taxonomy places the organism in Eukaryota, Viridiplantae, Streptophyta, Magnoliopsida, Malvales, Malvaceae.
GCGUCGUUUUGAAGCAAAUCUGAUAUUCUACUCCAUUUUCAGUAACAGCAGCCGCAAGAACUGCUGUAUCCUCCCCUCUGCUCUUCAUGCCGAAACCCCCCCUUUUCAACUUAGAUUUUGACGAAGCAAAUCAGGAUGUCGACGGCGCGCCUAUGUUGAUGCACUGGAGGAGAACGUGCGUUGUGCGGGGGCGACGUGGCCCGAUUCGUCUGCGGCGGAGGCGUGCGAGGGAGCCUUGCUGACGUGCGGCGCUGGGGCAAAGGGCUAGGUUUUUUCGGAUGUGUGCUGUUAGGGCUAGCUGUAGAACUCUUCGAUCAACAAAGAUGACUGGAGAUGCAAGUGAGGAAGCUGUUCCCGAGAUCAAAUAUGUUAGGACUUCAAAUUCAGCUGAAGGUCACAGCGGUUGGGUUUUAUCAAAGCAGGAGUAGCAAGCGGCAACUUCGGCUUCCGGACCGAGCAGAAAAGGCCCUGGUCUUUAGUACAAAUCUCUCUCAUUCGGAUUUAUGUUGCUCAUUUUUUUCCUUUUGUCCUUCUGGUUUGUAAUAUUCAGGACUCUAGUAUUGGUACAUAUGUUAUAUAAGUUGUGUUUCUA